Molecule: ribosomal RNA, 230 nt
Filed under: uncultured bacterium
Lineage: Bacteria
Description: partial 16S ribosomal RNA
Rfam family: Bacterial small subunit ribosomal RNA
Source: RNAcentral
AAAGCGUGCGCAGGCGGUUUUGUAAGACUGUCGUGAAAUACCCCGGGCUCAACCUGGGAAUGGCGAUGGUGACUGCAAGGCUAGAGUUUGGCAGAGGGGGUAGAAUUCCACGUGUAGCAGUGAAAUGCGUAGAUAUGUGGAGGAACACCGAUGGCGAAGGCAGCCCCCUGGGUCAAAACUGACGCUCAUGCACGAAAGCGUGGGGAGCAAACAGGAUUAGAUACCCUUGU